RNAcentral lists this ribosomal RNA (378 nucleotides) under Scytodes thoracica. Its description in RNAcentral is "partial large subunit ribosomal RNA". It matches the Rfam family "Archaeal large subunit ribosomal RNA", at positions 2025 to 2673 of the family's 2987-position model. The record is from RNAcentral. Lineage: Eukaryota; Metazoa; Arthropoda; Arachnida; Araneae; Scytodidae.
GUACUAAGGUAGCAUAAUAAUUAGCCUUUUAAUUAAAGGAUAGAAUGAAAGAACUAACGAGUCAAUACAACAUCCUCUGAAGAAAAUAAUAAAUUCCCAUUAAAGUAAAAAGACUUUAACAUAUAAGAAGGACGACAAGACCCUGAUGAACUUUAACAAAAUGUUAGGCUGGGGCAGCCACAUAAAAAAACCUUAUUACAAACAACAAUUAUACGAGAAACAUAAUACAAAAACAAGUUACCACAGGGAUAACAGCAUAAUUUUCCUUUAGAGCACUAAUCAAAAGGAAAGAUUAUGACCUCGAUGUUGAAUUAUCUUCAUAAUACAAGAAACCCUGUAAUAUAUAAAGGUCUGUUCGACCACACCAAGAUACAUGAU